GGGUGUUCCAUGGGACAAUUCAGAGAACCUGAUAUUUGUUCCUGACCUUGAGAGGUGUGGAGGAUUGGUGUUUGGUUCAUGCAUGACACAGCUAAGUCACCUGAUAGGUUUGGCCAUGUGGGCUUGGCCCAGUCCCCCAGUUUGGCAGGCCAAGGGAUGCAUGAGUGUUUCCACCAGACACAUAAAGGCUCCGUGCCCAUGAUUCACUCUCAGAAAUCAGGGAAGACCAAUGUGCAUUUGCUCUCCAGGGGUGUCAUGCAAGACCUUACCAGCUGCUGCUUAUGAAAGAGUUUAAAGUGCUAUAUUAUUCCACAAGGCAAAUCAUAUUUCUGACCUCCACUGGGAAAAUAGCUAUGGUGCUAUCGACAGGAAGAGGACAAUUUGAGACAAUGACCAACGCAUCCACUGACCUUUCCUAGUAGGAAUUUUAUUGCCGAAAGAAAUGAUGCAUGUGUUAUCAAAGCAUCUUUUUCUAUUACACCACUGGAUUUUCCUCCUACAGCCAACUUUCUGUCCACGGUGUAGAGCAAGCUGCAUCUGUCUCUGAGGUUAGAGAAAUGAACCAAGAACUUGAAAUAGUGGUGAUCUUGUCGUAGAAAAAGCAAGGGUGGAAAAUCUCAAUCUCAAAAAGGAAAUUUGUGUGGAGAAGGUAGUGAAAGAUUUAUCACUCUCCUUUUUUCUCUUUGAAAAGAAGUCAAUGGCCAUUCAGUGUUUAAAUGAGAACAAAGACUCCAGGGGAGCCAGGCGAAGAGAUAUUUGUUUAAAGUAAAAGUAAAAACAUCAUGAGCCAGCCCUGAUGGCCUAGCGGUUAAAGUUCCGCACGCUCACUGCUUUGGAGGCCUGGGGUCAUUUCCCGAUUGCAGAACCACACCGCCUAUCUGUCAGUUGCCAUGCUGUGGCGGCAGCUCACAUAGAAGAACUAGAAGGACUUACAACUAGAAGGUCCAAGAUGGAGCUGGCCGUGCCUGGGGUGUCACGUCAGCAAAUGGAAACUCAGAUCGCCUUCCUGCCCUUGUAAAUGCUCUGUUUGACCAGAAAGCAGUACAUCCAUUCAGCCAAUCUCCAACCACCACACCAAUUCCAGGCAUUCUCACCCCAAGAUUGACUAUAUGGCUCCAGUCAAUCAGAUAUUUUCUAUUUUGCUCUUGCUUGUUCUUUAUUCUUUAUCCUAUAAAAGCUUCCUGCCAUCCACCCCAUUUUGCAGCUCUCUGAAAGGAGACUGUCUACUUCAUGACGUGC
Molecule: long non-coding RNA, 1239 nt
Filed under: Equus caballus (horse)
Lineage: Eukaryota; Metazoa; Chordata; Mammalia; Perissodactyla; Equidae
Description: lncRNA (ENSECAG00000049410.1)
Source: RNAcentral